AGAGUUUGAUCCUGGCUCAGAUUGAACGCUGGCGGCAGGCCUAACACAUGCAAGUCGGGCGGUAACAGGGAGAAGCUUGCUUCUCCGCUGACGAGCGGCGGACGGGUGAGUAAUACAUCGGAACGUGUCCUGGAGUGGGGGAUAGCCCGGCGAAAGCCGGAUUAAUACCGCAUACGCUCUAUGGAGGAAAGCGGGGGAUCUUCGGACCUCGCGCUCAAGGGGCGGCCGAUGGCAGAUUAGCUAGUUGGUGGGGUAAAGGCUUACCUAGGCGACGAUCCCUAGCUGGUCUGAGAGGAUGAUCAGCCACACUGGGACUGAGACACGGCCCAGACUCCUACGGGAGGCAGCAGUGGGGAAUAUUGCACAAUGGGCGCAAGCCUGAUGCAGCCUUGCCGCGUGUAUGAAGAAGGCCUUCGGGUUGUAAAGUACUUUCAGUCGGGAGGAAGGUGUCAAGGUUAAUAACCUUGGCAAUUGACGUUACCGACAGAAGAAGCACCGGCUAACUCCGUGCCAGCCGCCGCGGUAAUUC
Molecule: ribosomal RNA, 529 nt
Filed under: uncultured bacterium
Lineage: Bacteria
Description: bacterial SSU rRNA
Rfam family: Bacterial small subunit ribosomal RNA
Source: RNAcentral